Molecule: ribosomal RNA, 424 nt
Filed under: Verrucomicrobiota bacterium
Lineage: Bacteria; Pseudomonadati; Verrucomicrobiota
Description: Verrucomicrobia bacterium partial 16S ribosomal RNA
Rfam family: Bacterial small subunit ribosomal RNA
Source: RNAcentral
UGAGGAAUAUUGGUCAAUGGACGGAAGUCUGAACCAGCCAAGUAGCGUGCAGGAUGACGGCCCUAUGGGUUGUAAACUGCUUUUAUAUGGGAAUAAAGUGAGGGACGUGUCCCUUAUUGCAUGUACCAUACGAAUAAGGACCGGCUAAUUCCGUGCCAGCAGCCGCGGUAAUACGGAAGGUCCAGGCGUUAUCCGGAUUUAUUGGGUUUAAAGGGAGCGUAGGCCGUUUGGUAAGCGUGUUGUGAAAUGUAGGAGCUCAACUUCUAGAUUGCAGCGCGAACUGUCAGACUUGAGUGCGCACAACGUAGGCGGAAUUCAUGGUGUAGCGGUGAAAUGCUUAGAUAUCAUGAAGAACUCCGAUUGCGAAGGCAGCUUACGGGAGCGCAACUGACGCUGAAGCUCGAAGGUGCGGGUAUCGAACAGG